GAUGAAGGUUGAAAAACAGUGAUUUUCAUAUGUCAAUUUGGACCAAAUUACACCCUUUACUACUUGGAACGAGCUUAGAAUCAAGCAAAACUCAAUAAAUGAGUCUGGAGAGAGUCAAAAGUUGUUUUUAGCGAUUUUAUGCUUAUUUUGCAUUGUUUUGUAGCUAAUUUGAGAAAAGUAAAAAUGGAGUUGAAGAUACAGGUCGUUG
RNAcentral lists this long non-coding RNA (208 nucleotides) under Vigna radiata. RNAcentral's name for it is "long non-coding RNA (VRAD_LNC000744)". Lineage: Eukaryota; Viridiplantae; Streptophyta; Magnoliopsida; Fabales; Fabaceae. The record is from RNAcentral.